RNAcentral lists this ribosomal RNA (512 nucleotides) under uncultured bacterium. Its description in RNAcentral is "partial 16S ribosomal RNA". It matches the Rfam family "Bacterial small subunit ribosomal RNA", at positions 28 to 523 of the family's 1533-position model. The record is from RNAcentral.
GAUGAACGCUGGCGGCAUGCCCAAUACAUGCAAGUCGAACGAGAGGAAGGAAAGCUUGCUUUUCUGAAUCUAGUGGCGAACGGGUGAGUAACACGUAGGUAACCUGCCCAUGUGCCCGGGAUAACUUCUGGAAACGGAUGCUAAAACCGGAUAGGUAGCAGACAAGCAUUUGACUGCUAUUAAAGUGGCUAAGGCCAUGAACAUGGAUGGACCUGCGGUGCAUUAGCUAGUUGGUGAGGUAACGGCCCACCAAGGCGACGAUGCAUAGCCGGCCUGAGAGGGCGGACGGCCACAUUGGGACUGAGACACGGCCCAAACUCCUACGGGAGGCAGCAGUAGGGAAUUUUCGUCAGUGGGGGGAACCCUGAACGAGCAAUGCCGCGUGAGUGAAGAAGGUCUUCGGAUCGUAAAGCUCUGUUGUAAGAGAAAAACGACAUUCAUAGGGAAUGAUGAGUGAGUGAUGGUAUCUUACCAGAAAGUCACGGCUAACUACGUGCCAGCCGCCGCAGUAA